AUUCACAUGAAAUUGAACUGUUCAACUGUUGAAUGAUACAGAUAUGAACUAAAACUUAAUUCUGACAGAA
RNAcentral lists this small nucleolar RNA (70 nucleotides) under Jaculus jaculus (lesser Egyptian jerboa). RNAcentral's name for it is "Small nucleolar RNA SNORD5 (ENSJJAG00000008803.1)". It matches the Rfam family "Small nucleolar RNA SNORD5". Lineage: Eukaryota; Metazoa; Chordata; Mammalia; Rodentia; Dipodidae. The record is from Rfam by way of RNAcentral.